This 1854-nucleotide long non-coding RNA is filed under the name Medicago truncatula (barrel medic). RNAcentral describes it as "long non-coding RNA (MTRU_LNC002010)". The record is from RNAcentral. Lineage: Eukaryota; Viridiplantae; Streptophyta; Magnoliopsida; Fabales; Fabaceae.
ACACACUCAUUCCACUCCUUAGAAAGAAAUAAAAGAAAAAGGGUUACAGAGAGAAAAGAAGAACGUAGAGAGAGUCUGAAGGGGAAAGGGAAGAGAACAGGAAAUUCACUCUAAGGAGACAAGUAAGAAUAUCCUUCCUCUUGCUAUCUUUUUCUUUAUUAAUGGUGUUAUAGAGAAUCAAAUUCUGCCCUAUCUGUCUUAGUACUGUGCUGGUUUAAAUAAUAGGAGAAUUGGGGGUUAUAGAGAAACAAGUUCUGUCAUGCCUGUCUUAUUAUUACAGUUUUGGUGUUAGUAAUAGGAGAAUUGGGGUCAUAGAGAAUCAAAUUCUUCCAUGCCUAUCUUAUCACUAUUCGGGUUUUAUUAAUAAAACGAUUGGUUCAUCGGAUCGUAACCGUAGUUAAGAGAAAUAAUUGUCUGUAGAGAUGAUAGGAGUUUUGGUGGAGUAGAAAUGUAGAAUAAACGUGAAUUGAGACGUUGUAAAUAGGAGGAGACCUGAUGACAAAGGUAGUAUUGUAACCUUGAAUCAACCCUUAACUUGAAGUCUCAAUUAUCUAGCCUAUUAAUAAUUAGUGUAACAUGGUUUUUACCGAAAUUCUCCUCUGAUAUGUGACCAUAACACUCUAUACAUUAGUUACCUUAAACAUGAAUCUUAUCCCAAUUUUGGAAGGCCAAGUUAAACUGUAUUGAGAUAUGAAAUAAAAUUAGAUAGUUCAUUUUCGGUUUAGAGUUAAAAUGAAAUAUGCUUGUUAAAACAUGAGCUGAAAGUGUAAACAGCCAGAAACAAAUAUAAUAAUAAAGAAAAAGAGGACUUAUUUUGAUAGCAAAAUAAUUAGCAAGAGUAGUGGUGAAUUAUACCUUAACCCAACAGUAAACUUGUGUAAAGAUUGAGAGGAAUUGAAAUUGAUACUAAGCUAGUAAAUAUUUAAUUGUGAAGGUGUAGAGAUAGGAGAGCAAAGACUGUCGCUUGAGGAGUUUAACGACGGUUGUGGUGAAGGUAAGGGCAUCACUCCACGCGCUUCCGUACGUGUAUAUGUGUAUAUAAUUGUGUGGUGAUAAUUAUCAUAAUGGUGUUGUUUUGAAAUGAAUGAUUAUGUGUUAUAUAUUGGUGUUGUGAUAAUUAUCUUGGUGGUUUGCUUUGGUAUGAAUAUUAUGUGUUAUUAUUUGAGUGGUGUUGUUUUAACAUAAAUACUCUUUGUUUAUGGAUGCAUAACCUUAAGUAACUAAAUGGUGAUUCUAAACUAUAUCCAAUGGUGGGAUACUAGACUUAGAUUUAAGGAGUUAUUACCCAAUGGUGGGGUAUUUACGGAGACAAUCAUGCAUUAGAUGACUCAGACAAAUGCCCAACGGUGGGGUACUGAACAUCGAGUUUUAGGAGUUAUUACCCAAUGGUGGGGUAAUGACGAUUCAUAUGCAUUAGAUGAUUCAGAAUAAUGCCCAAUGGUGGGGUACUGAACAUCGAAUUUUUAGGAGUUAUUACCCAAUGGUGGGGUAUAUUGUCCAAUGGUGGGACAAUUGACUUCGUUUAGAGGUGAAAUCCGGAUCAUGAGCAUGCACAUAUAGAUUGACCAUUAGGGACUAACGCAUUUUGGACAGAUGACCGUCGAUCCGUGUUUCCUCCUUGGCGGUGACGUUAGGGAGGCAAAGUGAUAUAGUAGAAGAAGACGCUAGUGGUGCAUAUUUGGAGGCUUGAUAUAUUCCGACACUGGUAUUAGCCUUGUUGACAAAACUUUUCACAAGCAUCCAGAACUUUGACCAGCUAGGUGUAGUCUUGGGUAGGAAAAAGGCCAAGUGUCUUGUUAUUAGGGAUAAUAUAUUUUUUUAUGUAAAAUUUACUAUUUUGGAAAUUCAAAGAGA